Molecule: ribosomal RNA, 773 nt
Filed under: uncultured Neocallimastigales
Lineage: Eukaryota; Fungi; Neocallimastigomycota; Neocallimastigomycetes; Neocallimastigales
Description: partial large subunit ribosomal RNA
Rfam family: Eukaryotic large subunit ribosomal RNA
Source: RNAcentral
UACACGCUGUGACUAGCAUAUCAAUAAGCGGAGGAAAAGAAACUAACAAGGAUUCCCCUAGUAACGGCGAGUGAAGCGGGAAGAGCUCAAAUUUGAAAUCUUAAAGGGUUUCCCUUUACGAAUUGUAGUUUAAAGAAGUGUUUUCUGUUGAGGUUUUGGUAAAAGUUCUUUGGAAUAGGACAUCAUAGAGGGUGAGAGUCCCGUAUUUGACCUUUACUUUCAACUUUGUGGUACACUUUCAAAGAGUCGGAUUGUUUGGGAAUGCAGUCCAAAAUGGGUGGUAAAUCUCAUCUAAAGCUAAAUAUUGGCGAGAGACCGAUAGCGAACAAGUACCGUGAGGGAAAGAUGAAAAGAACUUUGAAAAGAGAGUUAAACAGUACGUGAAAUUGUCAAAAGGGAAGCGUUUGACACCAGUGUUGUUUUUCUGAAAAUCAAUUAAAGAACUGUUUAUGCUAAGUUGUUUAGACUUUAUCAGCUAUCUGUUUAGUUUUGAGCUUUUCUUUAAUGCACUUUUCAGUUAACAAGUCAACAUCAAUUUCUUUUGCUGUAAAAAAGCUUGAGGAAGGUGGCUUGAGAUUCGUCUUAAGUGUUUAUAGCCUCUUGCCUAUGCAGUCGGAGAGAUUGAGGUCUGCAGCGUAGAUCCUUCGGGGCUAAAUGCAUUUGUGCUAAGUUAUAGCAUUUUAUAGACAACUUGUUGACUAUGAUUUGUCUUGUAGCUUACUCGCUUAUGUUAUUUUACCUACGCUUAGGAUGUUGAAGAUGUAGCACAUCAU